Molecule: long non-coding RNA, 287 nt
Organism: Acanthaster planci (crown-of-thorns starfish)
Lineage: Eukaryota; Metazoa; Echinodermata; Asteroidea; Valvatida; Acanthasteridae
Source: RefSeq, a predicted model, not a curated record
GGCUCAGGUGAAUGCACUGCUGUGGCUGCGUACGUAGAGGCCGACUAACGAUGUAGUGUGAAUUGACUGACCAGUGAUGAAAUCUCCAAAGUGAAGAUUCAGGUUACAUCAUCAGCUCGCACAGCAAUGAAGAGGUGACACUUUCUUCGCAUCACUGAAACUCCUGUGGAAGUGUUAUUGGCUAUCAGAGAUCACUUGACAAGUAACGUGCACCGCUGGCAGGUUGGACCAAGUCAUCGAUGUGUGAAUACAAGACUGAACGCAAGAUGUGCCCAGCAGCCUUGGAU